AGACUUGAGUGCAGAAGAGGACAGUGGAACUCCAUGUGUAGCGGUGGAAUGCGUAGAUAUAUGGAAGAACACCAGUGGCGAAGGCGGCUGUCUAGUCUGUAACUGACGCUGAGGCUCGAAAGCAUGGGUAGCGAACAGGAUUAGAUACCCUGGUAGUCCAUGCCGUAAACGAUGAGUGCUAAGUGUUGGAGGGUUUCCCCCUUCAGUGCUGCAGCUAACGCAUUAAGCACUCCGCCUGGGGAGUACGACCGCAAGGUUGAAACUCAAAGGAAUUGACGGGGGCCCGCACAAGCGGUGGAGCAUGUGGUUUAAUUCGAAGCUACGCGAAGAACCUUACCAGGUCUUGACAUCUUCUGCCAAUCUUAGAGAUAAGACGUUCCCUUCGGGGACAGAAUGACAGGUGGUGCAUGGUUGUCGUCAGCUCGUGUCGUGAGAUGUUGGGUUAAGUCCCGCAACGAGCGCAACCCUUAUUAUCAGUUGCCAGCAUUCAGUUGGGCACUCUGGUGAGACUGCCGGUGACAAACCGGAGGAAGGUGGGGAUGACGUCAAAUCAUCAUGCCCCUUAUGACCUGGGCUACACACGUGCUACAAUGGACGGUACAACGAGUCGCGAAGUCGUGAGGCUAAGCUAAUCUCUUAAAGCCGUUCUCAGUUCGGAUUGUAGGCUGCAACUCGCCUACAUGAAGUUGGAAUCGCUAGUAAUCGCGGAUCAGCAUGCCGCGGUGAAUACGUUCCCGGGCCUUGUACACACCGCCCGUCACACCAUGAGAGUUUGUAACACCCAAAGCCGGUGAGAUAACCUUCGGGAGUCAGCCGUCUAAGGUGGGACAGAUGAUUAGGGUGAAGUCGUAACAAGGUAACCA
This 863-nucleotide ribosomal RNA is filed under the name uncultured Lactobacillus sp. RNAcentral's name for it is "bacterial SSU rRNA". It matches the Rfam family "Bacterial small subunit ribosomal RNA", at positions 638 to 1502 of the family's 1533-position model. The record is from RNAcentral. Lineage: Bacteria; Bacillati; Bacillota; Bacilli; Lactobacillales; Lactobacillaceae.